CAGCAAAGAAAUGACUGGCCUCAUGGGACCCCAUAAAAGCAACCUGUGCAAAAUGGCAGAGCCACCGUAGAGGCAGGUACGGUGGUUCCUCAAGAAAUUAAAACGUAGGAUUGCCGCAUGACUCCGCAGUUGCCCCUGCGCACUCACAAAAUUCAAAAGUGGAGACCUGAACGCAUGUCCUGUGUGCUGGUGUUUAUAGAAGCGAUACCACGGUGAAAAGGAAGAGCCCAAGUUUACCAACUGCUGAAGGCACGCUGGGACACCUACGUUGGGGUCCUAGAACCCUGGUGAUACUCCUUCGGCGUGUAGGCGCUGUUUCUGGAUAAACCUCGCAAGCUCUCACCCAUGAUGUGCUCACCUUUUCUUCGGCUCCUCACCUCUCCUCUCCUCUCCAGCACUCUCCUCUCAGGCAUGUUGCAGAGCUCCCGCCUGCAUUACGGGUUCCUUUGAGGUUAUACAUUUCUUCACUCUACCGAGAGGUGCAUGCCGUAAUCUCAGCAGUCUGGGAAGCUGAAGCGGGAAGAUCGCACGUUCCACUCCAGCCUUAGUGAUUUAACAAGACCCUGAUUCGGAACUUUAAAAAGCGGAGGCAGGGAUGUAGUUCAGUGUGGAGGCCCUGGGUUUAAUUCCCAGUUUUAAAAAAUGGAAAUAAAUAAAUAAAUAGAGUAAACGCAGAC
RNAcentral lists this long non-coding RNA (677 nucleotides) under Fukomys damarensis (Damara mole-rat). RNAcentral's name for it is "lncRNA (ENSFDAG00000032324.1)". The record is from RNAcentral. Lineage: Eukaryota; Metazoa; Chordata; Mammalia; Rodentia; Bathyergidae.